This 1300-nucleotide long non-coding RNA is filed under the name Gossypium barbadense (sea-island cotton). RNAcentral's name for it is "long non-coding RNA (GBAR_LNC010208)". Lineage: Eukaryota; Viridiplantae; Streptophyta; Magnoliopsida; Malvales; Malvaceae. The record is from RNAcentral.
ACGAAAAGACUGGUAACACCAUUAUGGAAAAUAGGCUAAAUGGGCCUAGAUGACUAAAUCAGCUAUGUAGGGCCUAUUAGGGAUUUUUUGGCCCAAUAACUCGGUAUCGCGAAAAAUGGGCCAAAAUUGCUGUUUAAAACAUAUGUGUAAUAGGCCCAUUUCGCCCGGGCCCAUUAUAAACAAAAAAAUAAUAAAUAUAAAAAAAAAGAACAUAAAUGGCCCAAAAUUAGUCAAAAUCCAAGUUCUUUUACAAAUAAUAAAAUAACCCAAUUAACCCAAAUAAAUCCCCAAACCCAAUAAAAAUAUAACACCCAAUUAGCCCAAAUAACCCACUACCCUAAGCCCAAAACACUAAUGAUUUUUUCAGCAAACCCUCAACACUAGAAACUUCAGCUGCCAGCCUCUAUGCUCCACAACAACUUCUCCACGCCGUGCACACCUGCAACGGAUUAACAACCACAGCGAUUAACAGCAAAGAAAUAACAGAGAAGAGGGAUGAUGAGAGUUUCAAUUUUUUUUUCUUUUUUUUUUGAUUUUUUGGGGGUUUUCGGUUAUAAAAGGCCAUUUGUAAACAAUGUAAGGGGAUUGAUUUUUUUCUUGGAUACAAAUACAAAAUACACAUCAAUAAGAAAAGAAAGGUGAUUUGAGAUUCAAAUCUUUUCUUCUUUUUUUUUUUAGAUCUGAUAUCUUAUCUAGAUUUUUUUUAGUUUUCUUUCUUCUCUUUGGCAUCAAAAAGAUAAAAAGAGGGUGUUGCUUACCUCCGACUUUUCAUUGCGACCCAUCUGCGCGUGGUCGAUCACCAAGUCCGAUGGUGGUGCGGCGGCAUCCAGUCCUUGCCCUUAGAUUGAGGCCGUAACUCUAGCAAAAAGGGAUAAAAUGAAAGGGGUUAUUAGUUGCUGGUAUAAAAGGGCAGAUUCCCAUUCAUUUUUCUUUGAUUUUGAUAAUAAAACAAAACUGCACUAUCUAAGGAAGGGGGAUUUGCGUUUUUGUGCUUCAAAUGGGAGAUUUCAGCAGAUAGUCCUCCCAUUUUGCGCAUUCUUUUUAAUUAAUCCUUAUUUGCAUUUUAUUUGUUUUAAAUUUCUCCUAGAAUUUGCGUGACACUUCAAUUUAGCCCGCACCUAAACUCUGUGCUGUGAGAUCUGGAAUAUUUUCAGUUCUGAUCCCUGUACGUUCGAGCGCAGCGUGCUUUAGUCUUUUACGAUUUCAAUGGUUUAAUUCAUUAAUUACCCCUUUUAAUUUAAUUUUAUUUUAACUGAGUUUUUUUAUUUUGUAUAAUUCAUAAUUAUUUUUUUAAAAAGAU